AGAGUUUGAUCAUGGCUCAGAUUGAACGCUGGCGGCAUGCCUAAUACAUGCAAGUCGAACGGUAACAGGCUUUUCGGAGUGCUGACGAGUGGCGGACGGGUGAGUAACGCGUGGGAAUCUGCCCUGUAGCGGGGGACAACCUUAGGAAACUGAGGCUAAUACCGCAUACCUUCUACGGAAGAAAGUAGGCCACUGAAUAUGCUUACACUACAGGAUGAGCCCGCGUUGGAUUAGCUAGUUGGUAAGGUAAUGGCUUACCAAGGCUACGAUCCAUAACUGGUCUGAGAGGACGACCAGUCACACCGGGACUGAGACACGGCCCGGACUCCUACGGGAGGCAGCAGUAGGGAAUAUUGGGCAAUGGGCGCAAGCCUGACCCAGCAAUGCCGCGUGUGUGAAGAAGGCCUUAGGGUUGUAAAGCACUUUCAGGAGGGAAGAAAAGGUUAGGAAUAAUACGCCUAACUCAUGACGUUACCUCCAAAAGAAGCACCGGCUAACUCUGUGCCAGCAACCGCGGUAAUACAGAGGGUGCGAGCGUUAAUCGGAAUUACUGGGCGUAAAGGGUGCGUAGGCGGUUAGAUAAGUUAGAUGUGAAAUCCCUGGGCUCAACCUGGGAACUGCCUCUAAAACUAUCUAACUCGAGUGCAGUAGAGGAAAGUGGAAUUUCCGGUGUAGCGGUGAAAUGCGUAGAUAUCGGAAGGAACAUC
Molecule: ribosomal RNA, 707 nt
Filed under: uncultured bacterium
Lineage: Bacteria
Description: bacterial SSU rRNA
Rfam family: Bacterial small subunit ribosomal RNA
Source: RNAcentral